AACUGCCAUCAAAACUUUUUGGCUUGAGUAUGAUAGAGGAAAGUGGAAUUUCUAGUGUAGAGGUGAAAUUCGUAGAUAUUAGAAAGAACACCAAAAGCGAAGGCAACUUUCUGGAUCAUUACUGACACUGAGGAGCGAAAGCAUGGGUAGCGAAGAGGAUUAGAUACCCUCGUAGUCCAUGCUGUAAACGAUGUGUGCUAGACGUUGGAAAUUUAAUUUUCAGUGUCGCAGCAAAAGCGUUAAGCACACCGCCUGGGGAGUACGACCGCAAGGUUAAAACUCAAAUGAAUUGACGGGGACCCGCACAAGCAGUGGAGCAUGUGGUUUAAUUCGAAGAUACGCGCAGAACCUUACCAACUCUUGACAUGUUCGUCGCGACUCGUAGAGAUAUGAGUCUUCGGUUCGGCCGGACGAAACACAGGUGCUGCAUGGCCGUCGUCAGCUCGUGUCGUGAGAUGUUGGGUUAAGUCCCGCAACGAGCGCAACCCCUACGUUUAGUUACUAACAUUUAGUUGAGUACCCUAAACGAACUGCCAGUGAUAAGCUGGAGGAAGGUGGGGAUGACGUCAAGUCCUCAUGGCCCUUACGAGUUGGGCUACACACGUGCUACAAUGGUACUUACAAUAAGAUGCAAAGAGGCAACUCUAAGCCAAUCUUAAAAAUGUAUCUCAGUUCGGAUUGCACUCUGCAACUCGAGUGCAUGAAGCUGGAAUUGCUAGUAAUCGCGGAUCAGCGCGCCGCGGUGAAUACGUUCCCGGGUCUUGUACACACCGCCCGUCACACAUGGAAGUUGGUUACACCUUAAGGCAAAGCGUAAAACCUUUGACUACGGUACGAUCAGCAACUGGGGUGAAGUCGUAACAAGGUAACC
RNAcentral lists this ribosomal RNA (871 nucleotides) under uncultured Pelagibacterales bacterium. RNAcentral describes it as "bacterial SSU rRNA". It matches the Rfam family "Bacterial small subunit ribosomal RNA", at positions 619 to 1501 of the family's 1533-position model. Lineage: Bacteria; Pseudomonadati; Pseudomonadota; Alphaproteobacteria; Candidatus Pelagibacterales. The record is from RNAcentral.